Molecule: ribosomal RNA, 490 nt
Filed under: uncultured bacterium
Lineage: Bacteria
Description: partial 16S ribosomal RNA
Rfam family: Bacterial small subunit ribosomal RNA
Source: RNAcentral
AUUGAACGCUGGCGGCAGGCCUAACACAUGCAAGUCGAACGGUAACAGGAAGAAGCUUGCUUCUUUGCUGACGAGUGGCGGACGGGUGAGUAAUGUCUGGGAAACUGCCUGAUGGAGGGGGAUAACUACUGGAAACGGUAGCUAAUACCGCAUAACGUCGCAAGACCAAAGAGGGGGACCUUCGGGCCUCUUGCCAUCGGAUGUGCCCAGAUGGGAUUAGCUAGUAGGUGGGGUAACGGCUCACCUAGGCGACGAUCCCUAGCUGGUCUGAGAGGAUGACCAGCCACACUGGAACUGAGACACCGUCCAGACUCCUACGGGAGGCAGCAGUGGGGAAUAUUGCACAAUGGGCGCAAGCCUGAUGCAGCCAUGCCGCGUGUAUGAAGAAGGCCUUCGGGUUGUAAAGUACUUUCAGCGGGGAGGAAGGGAGUAAAGUUAAUACCUUUGCUCAUUGACGUUACCCGCAGAAGAAGCACCGGCUAACUCCGUG